Molecule: ribosomal RNA, 492 nt
Filed under: uncultured bacterium
Lineage: Bacteria
Description: partial 16S ribosomal RNA
Rfam family: Bacterial small subunit ribosomal RNA
Source: RNAcentral
AGUGAACGCUGGCGGUAGGCCUAACACAUGCAAGUCGAACGGCAGCACAGUAAGAGCUUGCUCUUACGGGUGGCGAGUGGCGGACGGGUGCGGAAUACAUCGGCAUCUACUUUUUCGUGGGGGAUAACGUAGGGAAACUUACGCUAAUACCGCAUACGACCUACGGGUGAACGCAGGGGAUCUUCGGACCUUGCGCGAUUGAAUGAGCCGAUGUCGGAUUAGCUAGUUGGCGGGGUAAAGGCCCACCAAGGCGACGAUCCGUAGCUGGUCUGAGAGGAUGAUCAGCCACACUGGAACGGAGACACGGUCCAGACUACUACGGGAGGCAGCAGUGGGGAAUAUUGGACAAUGAGCGCAAGCCUGAUCCAGCCAGACCGCGUGGGUGAAGAAGGCCUUCGGGUUGUAAAGCCCUUUUGUUGGGAAAGAAAAGCAGCAGGUUAAUACCCCGCUGUUCUGACGGUACCCAAAGAAUAAGCACCGGCUAACUUCGUG